RNAcentral lists this long non-coding RNA (1111 nucleotides) under Macaca fascicularis (crab-eating macaque). RNAcentral's name for it is "lncRNA (ENSMFAG00000054842.1)". Lineage: Eukaryota; Metazoa; Chordata; Mammalia; Primates; Cercopithecidae. The record is from RNAcentral.
GACGGGCAUGUACACACACACAAUAUAGGCUUAGAACUUCAAUAAGGCACAUGGCUUUUACUUGCGUGUGAUGCUGAGAUUUUUAUUUUUCAAGGGAACAUUAUUCCCGACCAGUUCUUGUUAUGCUACUUUUCAAGAGAAUCUAGGAAGAAUGAUGAGUUCUAUUGGUCAGCAAGUGGUAAGACAAAAAAUUACCGCAAAGACACAUGCAAAAAAGGGCCUGGAAAAACUGAGGUGGUAUCACUGUAAUUAACAGGGAUAAUUAACACAAGUUCUUGCACAAUGCAUUUGGUUUGAGGGGAGAGAGAGAAUACUGGCUAUCUGAUUAUGAUUCUAAAAUCCUCAAAUUCUGACAAAAUUCCGGCUAAAUCUGCUGCCAAACCUACUUGCAUCCUAUAUUACCUCCUCAGCAGCUAUCAACUGGGUUCGCCUCAAAAUGUCAGCUUUCCUCUGCAUAACAUGGGAGCUAUAACUGAGUUUAAUCAGUGCCUGGAUUUUCCAUAACUUACCGAUUAUUUGGCCAGCUCAGUUUUUGACAUAUGCAGGAAGUCCUUGAUGUCCAUAAGGAGAAUGACAACUUAACAAAUCAGUAGCUUUUGGGUACUUAUGGAAAGGUUGAGAACAGGCCAGCUGCUUCCUCUACUGGAGGUGAUGCAUGGUUAAUUUCUUUAUUUUAGCAUACUGUACACAGAUGCGGCUGGGUUGUUAAUUUUGCUUUGCUACCAAGAGUUACAAGAUAUCAGCUAUCGGCUGAUUUAUUUGAAAUCCUCCCUGGAACGCAUCAGAAUUUUAAUUGUUUCCUGAAUUUCUGCAGGAGAAGAUGAAUUGAUGUCACUGGGAAAUGCCUUGGGUCCCUGCUGACUGCAACUAACUCCCAGUGACUGAUUUCCAAUUGAUACAGAUGAGGCCUGAGAGGCAGCACACAUAGAUACACCCACGUGAGCUCAGCAGCCUCAUAAUGGCCAACAGAGAUGAUGGGGGAGACUAAACAUUUCUUUCCAACAACUCAUCAAGUACACUGUUCUUCUCAACAGAUGUAACCGGCGGGGCCCAACAUAGAUGCUGGCAGAAACAGAUGGUGCCGCGGGGCAGCUCUCUGUUCCCUGCUCCC